RNAcentral lists this ribosomal RNA (497 nucleotides) under uncultured bacterium. RNAcentral describes it as "partial 16S ribosomal RNA". It matches the Rfam family "Bacterial small subunit ribosomal RNA", at positions 28 to 507 of the family's 1533-position model. The record is from RNAcentral.
GAUGAACGCUGGCGGCGUGCCUAAUACAUGCAAGUCGAGCGAACAGACGAGGAGCUUGCUCCUUCGACGUUAGCGGCGGACGGGUGAGUAACACGUAGGUAACCUACCUAUAAGACUGGGAUAACUUCGGGAAGCCGGAGCUAAUACCGGAUAAUAUUUCGAACCGCAUGGUUCGAUAGUGAAAGAUGGCAUUGCUAUCACUUAUAGAUGGACCUGCGCCGUAUUAGCUAGUUGGUAAGGUAACGGCUUACCAAGGCAACGAUACGUAGCCGACCUGAGAGGGUGAUCGGCCACACUGGAACUGAGACACGGUCCAGACUCCUACGGGAGGCAGCAGUAGGGAAUCAUCCGCAAUGGGCGAAAGCCUGACGGAGCAACGCCGCGUGAGUGAUGAAGGUCUUCGGAUCGUAAAACUCUGUUAUUAGGGAAGAACAAACGUGUAAGUAACUGUGCACGUCUUGACGGUACCUAAUCAGAAAGCCACGGCUAACUACGUG